This 110-nucleotide Y RNA is filed under the name Prolemur simus (greater bamboo lemur). RNAcentral describes it as "Y RNA (ENSPSMG00000013921.1)". It matches the Rfam family "Y RNA". From Rfam's summary of the family: Y RNAs are components of the Ro ribonucleoprotein particle (Ro RNP), in association with Ro60 and La proteins. The Y RNAs and Ro60 and La proteins are well conserved, but the function of the Ro RNP is not known. Lineage: Eukaryota; Metazoa; Chordata; Mammalia; Primates; Lemuridae. The record is from Rfam by way of RNAcentral.
GACUGGGUCCAAAAGUCAAGAGUUCUCUCCGUUGUUCAUGGUCAGUUGCAGAUUGAACUCCUUGUUCUACUUUUUCCCCCCUUCUCACAAAUGCACUUGACCAGUCUUUA